RNAcentral lists this unclassified non-coding RNA (21 nucleotides) under Mus musculus (house mouse). Its description in RNAcentral is "oocyte_clustered_small_RNA11686". The record is from RNAcentral. Lineage: Eukaryota; Metazoa; Chordata; Mammalia; Rodentia; Muridae.
ACUGAUGCCGAGGCCAUGGAA